UAUCGAUCGGAGUUUAAUAGCAGCUCUUUAACAAACCAGUGCUUUGGGAACGAGGGAAGACGGUUAAAAUCCGUCGCUGCCCCGCAGCUGUAUGUGGAACGAAAGCGAAAAGUGCCAUUAGAGAAAGGUUACGUAACCUUUCUCUGAGAAGGUUCGCAAGUAGGAAGUCUUGAGGAAGCCCUUCGCUUCGCUCAGGACGUAAAUCAUUUAGCAUUGUGAAUGUUCAAUGAUUUACGCCACAAGCCAGAAGAUCUCGCCCUUAAAGCUUAACCGAC
This 275-nucleotide non-coding RNA is filed under the name Candidatus Omnitrophota bacterium. Lineage: Bacteria; Pseudomonadati; Candidatus Omnitrophota. The record is from RNAcentral.